UGGGGAAUUUUGGACAAUGGGCGAAAGCCUGAUCCAGCCAUGCCGCGUGAGUGAAGAAGGCCUUCGGGUUGUAAAGCUCUUUUAGUCGGGAAGAAAGAGUUGCAAUGAAUAAUUGUGAUUUAUGACGGUACCGACAGAAAAAGCACCGGCUAACUACGUGCCAGCAGCCGCGGUAAUACGUAGGGUGCGAGCGUUAAUCGGAAUUACUGGGCGUAAAGGGUGCGCAGGCGGUCUUGCAAGUCAGAUGUGAAAGCCCCGGGCUUAACCUGGGAAUUGCGUUUGAAACUACAAGGCUAGAGUGCAGGAGAGGGGAGUGGAAUUCCAUGUGUAGCAGUGAAAUGCGUAGAGAUGUGGAAGAACACCGAUGGCGAAGGCAGCUCCCUGGGUUGACACUGACGCUCAUGCACGAAAGCGUGGGGAGCAAACA
RNAcentral lists this ribosomal RNA (427 nucleotides) under uncultured beta proteobacterium. Its description in RNAcentral is "bacterial SSU rRNA". It matches the Rfam family "Bacterial small subunit ribosomal RNA", at positions 355 to 774 of the family's 1533-position model. Lineage: Bacteria; Pseudomonadati; Pseudomonadota; Betaproteobacteria. The record is from RNAcentral.